This 367-nucleotide small RNA is filed under the name Pongo abelii (Sumatran orangutan). RNAcentral describes it as "retained intron". The record is from RNAcentral. Lineage: Eukaryota; Metazoa; Chordata; Mammalia; Primates; Hominidae.
UGCUGUCGCAGGGGGCCCUGGGAGCAGUGCUGGGCCCCCACCUCCCAGUGAGGAGGCUGCUGAGCCAGAGGCCAGACUGGUGGAGGUCACUGAGUCCUCCAAUCAGGACGCACUUUCCGGCUCCAGUGACCUGCUGGAACUUCUGCUGCAAGAGGACUCACGCUCCGGCACAGGCUCCGCAGCCUCGGGCUCCUUGGGCUCUGGCUUGGGCUCUGGGUCUGGUUCAGGCUCCCAUGAGGGGGGCAGCACCUCAGCCAGCAUCACUCGUGAGUACCCCACCUCCAGCAUCUCCCAGGGUAGGGCAGUGAUUGGGGAGCCGGGAGCCCAGGCCCCGUCUUGGCGGAGCUUCCUAAGGCCACUGGGACGG